UCCAGCUGGUGAACCGGCUCUGAUACCAAAUGUAACGCCCCAACUUCCCAGGGGUCACCCAUCCUAGGACUACUCCCGUCCUAGCACGCUUAACUCUCUUAACCUCUUGGGCCUUGCCACCACCUAAUAUGCUUAAGCCGGGUUAAGAGUUUAGCCCUAUUAUAUCUUAUAUAUAGGACUAUCUGGGGUCUCACAAUCAAAAUUUGUAACGCCCCAACUUCCCAGGGGGUCACCCAUCCUAGGACUACUCCCGUCCUAGCAGGCUUAACUCUCUUAACCUCUUGGGCCUUGCCACCACCCAAUAUGCUUAAACCGGGUUAAGAGUUUAGCCCUAUUAUAUCUUAUAUAUAGGACUAUCUAGGGUCUCACAAUCUCCCCUCCUUUAAGCCCUGACGUCCUCGUCAGGCUCAGACUCACAAGUACCAGGCGAUGUGAGACUCGUCUCGCUAGCCCGUCAUCCAGACCCUGGCUCAGCCGAGACUCGUCUCACACUUCCGGCUGGUAAUUGGCUCUGAUACCAUUUGUGACGCCCCAACUUCCCAGGGGGUCACCCAUACUAGGACUACUCCCGUCCUAGCACACUUAACUCUCUUAACCUCUUGGGCCUUGCCACCACCCAAUAUGC
This 625-nucleotide long non-coding RNA is filed under the name Ananas comosus (pineapple). RNAcentral's name for it is "long non-coding RNA (ACOM_LNC011975)". Lineage: Eukaryota; Viridiplantae; Streptophyta; Magnoliopsida; Poales; Bromeliaceae. The record is from RNAcentral.